GCGUCUUCGGCGUCCGCAUUGUAAUCUCAAGAAGUGUUUUCCGCUUCGGACCAUGCCUAAGUCCCUUGGAAAAGGGCAUCAUAGAGGGUGAUAAUCCCGUACAUGGCAUGGAGCGCCCGAGGCUUUGUGAUACGCUUUCUAAGAGUCGAGUUGUUUGGGAAUGCAGCUCAAAAUGGGUGGUAAAUGCCAUCUAAGGCUAAAUAUUGGGGAGAGACCGAUAGCGAACAAGUACAGUGAUGGAAAGAUGAAAAGAACUUUGAAAAGAGAGUUAAACAGUACGUGAAAUUGCCAAAAGGGAAGGGUAGGAGGUCAGAGAUGCGUCUUGGGAUUCAGCCUUGCUUUUGCUUGGUGUUUUUCCCAAGUUGCAGGCCAACGUCGGUUUUGGGCACUGGAGAAGGGUGGAAGGAACGUGGCACCUCUCGGGGUGUGUUAUAGCCUUCUACUGGAUACAGCGACCGAGACCGAGGACAGCAGCGUACUCGCAAGAGCGGGCCUUCGGGCACCUUUACGCUUAGGGCGUUGGCAUAAUGGCCCUCUACCACC
RNAcentral lists this ribosomal RNA (543 nucleotides) under Anthracocystis elionuri. RNAcentral's name for it is "LSU rRNA". It matches the Rfam family "Eukaryotic large subunit ribosomal RNA", at positions 125 to 649 of the family's 3401-position model. Lineage: Eukaryota; Fungi; Basidiomycota; Ustilaginomycetes; Ustilaginales; Ustilaginaceae. The record is from RNAcentral.